CAGUCGCCACGGUAAUACCGAGGAUGCAAGCGUUAUCCGGAAUGAUUGGGCGUAAAGCGUCUGUAGGUGGCUUUUCAAGUCCGCCGUCAAAUCCCAGGGCUCAACCCUGGACAGGCGGUGGAAACUACCAAGCUAGAGUACGGUAGGGGCAGAGGGAAUUUCCGGUGGAGCGGUGAAAUGCGUUGAGAUCGAAAAGAACACCAACGACGAAAGCACUCUGCUGGGUCGACACUGACACUGAGAGACGAAAGCUAGGGGAGCAAAUGGGAUUAGAUACCCCCGUAGUCCCUGUCUCUUAUAC
This 301-nucleotide ribosomal RNA is filed under the name uncultured bacterium. RNAcentral describes it as "partial 16S ribosomal RNA". It matches the Rfam family "Bacterial small subunit ribosomal RNA", at positions 509 to 807 of the family's 1533-position model. The record is from RNAcentral.